Molecule: long non-coding RNA, 350 nt
Organism: Camelina sativa (false flax)
Lineage: Eukaryota; Viridiplantae; Streptophyta; Magnoliopsida; Brassicales; Brassicaceae
Source: RefSeq, a predicted model, not a curated record
CUAAAAAAAACUAUCAUUAGCAAGAAGAGUGCUACAGAAACAAUAAUGGCAGCACAAAAGUUUCAACUUGCUUUUAUGCUCUUAUUUAUUUUUCUUCUUGUCUCUCCAUCAAUUGCUCAACCAGGUGCUGCUAGCUGUCGUUACAAAGGCCCUUGUAAAAUCGAUGCUGAUUGCAAGAAUAUAUGCACUGCCGCAGAUGAAGAUCACAGGAAUUUUAUGUGCUUUGAAAAUAACCCACCGCAUGGACUUUGUUGUUGUAUAAUACACCACUAAUCAUGAUAUAUUUAUAUAUAUUUCUAUGGUUAUAUCAUUGCCAAUAAUUGAAAGUAAUAAAAAUAAGUAUUUGAAAA